UCCGGUUUGGCACCGGCAGUCUCCUCAGUACCACGUGCAUGUCAAGCCCGGGUAAGGUUCUUCGCGUUGCAUCGAAUUAAACCACACGCUCCGCUGCCUGUGCGGGCCCCCGUCAAUUCCUUUGAGUUUUAGCCUUGCGGCCGUAGUCCCCAGGCGGGGUGCUUACUGCGUUAGCUGCGGCACCGCGGGGGUCGAUACCCGCGACACCUAGCACCCAUCGUUUACGGCGUGGACUAC
RNAcentral lists this unclassified non-coding RNA (237 nucleotides) under uncultured bacterium. RNAcentral's name for it is "contains 16S-23S intergenic spacer region". The record is from RNAcentral.